GUGACUGCACGAGCGGCGUGGUCAGCUGCACGCGCCGGCUCUGUGCCCAGCGGCAGGAGCCGGAGAAGUUCGGGGAGUGUCAGACCGGCACGCGCUGGUUGGACGAGUGCGAUAACCUGUGCUACUGCUCCGAGAGUGGACUUCCCAAAUGCACCCUCAACGAGUGUCCUUAUGGCAGGCAGGAGGGCGCGCGCGUCCACUUCCUGCUCGAGGCCGGCUCGACGUGCACCAACGAGGGCGAGCGAUGGCAGCAGGGCUGCGGCCGCUGCUCGUGCGCCGCC
Long non-coding RNA from Pollicipes pollicipes, 281 nucleotides. RefSeq lists it as uncharacterized. NCBI's taxonomy places the organism in Eukaryota, Metazoa, Arthropoda, Thecostraca, Pollicipedomorpha, Pollicipedidae. The transcript is spliced from 3 exons. The record is from RefSeq and is a predicted model, not a curated record.